GACGAACGCUGGCGGCGUGCCUAAUACAUGCAAGUUGAGCGCUGAAGGUUGGUACUUGUACCGACUGGAUGAGCAGCGAACGGGUGAGUAACGCGUGGGGAAUCUGCCUUUGAGCGGGGGACAGCAUUUGGAAACGAAUGCUAAUACCGCAUAAAAACUUUAAACACAAGUUUUAAGUUUGAAAGAUGCAAUUGCAUCACUCAAAGAUGAUCCCGCGUUGUAUUAGCUAGUUGGUGAGGUAAAGGCUCACCAAGGCGAUGAUACAUAGCCGACCUGAGAGGGUGAUCGGCCACAUUGGGACUGAGACACGGCCCAAACUCCUACGGGAGGCAGCAGUAGGGAAUCUUCGGCAAGGGACGAAAGUCUGACCGAGCAACGCCGCGUGAGUGAAGAAGGUUUUCGGAUCGUAAAACUCGGUUGGUAGAGAAGAACGUUGGUGAGAGUGGAAAGCUCAUCAAGUGACGGUAACUACCCAGAAAGGGACGGCUAACUACGUG
RNAcentral lists this ribosomal RNA (497 nucleotides) under uncultured bacterium. RNAcentral's name for it is "partial 16S ribosomal RNA". It matches the Rfam family "Bacterial small subunit ribosomal RNA", at positions 28 to 507 of the family's 1533-position model. The record is from RNAcentral.